This 209-nucleotide long non-coding RNA is filed under the name Vitis vinifera (wine grape). Its description in RNAcentral is "long non-coding RNA (VVIN_LNC001446)". The record is from RNAcentral. Lineage: Eukaryota; Viridiplantae; Streptophyta; Magnoliopsida; Vitales; Vitaceae.
AAAAUAGAAUAAAAAAUAAACCAAUAAACAAAAGCCGAGCCCAAAAGCCAUGUAACCAUGCAAGUCAUACAAGUCACGCUGAAAAUGUCCAAAUGGGCCAAGUGUGCCUAAACGGGCCUAUGAUGAAAUUAAGUGGGCCUAGGGUGGUGCCUAAUGGGCCAAGUGUAUCUAAAAGCUAUCCUAAAAAAACAAGAAAAGCCUAAGUCUAA